Molecule: ribosomal RNA, 228 nt
Filed under: uncultured bacterium
Lineage: Bacteria
Description: partial 16S ribosomal RNA
Rfam family: Bacterial small subunit ribosomal RNA
Source: RNAcentral
UACGUAGGCGGGAAAUUAAGUCAGUAGUGAAAUCCCACAGCUUAACUGUGGAACUGUUAUUGAUACUAGUUUUCUUGAAUAUAGUUGAGGUAGGCGGAAUGUGUAAUGUAGCGGUGAAAUGCUUAGAUAUUACACAGAACACCGAUUGCGAAGGCAGCUUACUAAGCUAUGAUUGACGCUGAGGUACGAAAGCGUGGGGAGCGAACAGGAUUAGAUACCCUGGUAGUC